RNAcentral lists this ribosomal RNA (483 nucleotides) under uncultured bacterium. Its description in RNAcentral is "partial 16S ribosomal RNA". It matches the Rfam family "Bacterial small subunit ribosomal RNA", at positions 28 to 507 of the family's 1533-position model. The record is from RNAcentral.
GACGAACGCUGGCGGCGUGCUUAACACAUGCAAGUCGAACGCUGAAGCUCAGCUUUUGUUGGGUGGAUGAGUGGCGAACGGGUGAGUAACACGUGAGUAACCUGCCCCCUUCUUUGGGAUAACGCCCGGAAACGGGUGCUAAUACUGGAUAUUCACUGGUCUUCGCAUGGGGGUUGGUGGAAAGGGUUUUUCUGGUGGGGGAUGGGCUCGCGGCCUAUCAGCUUGUUGGUGGGGUGAUGGCCUACCAAGGCUUUGACGGGUAGCCGGCCUGAGAGGGUGACCGGUAACAUUGGGACUGAGAUACGGCCCAGACUCCUACGGGAGGCAGCAGUGGGGAAUAUUGCACAAUGGGCGCAAGCCUGAUGCAGCGACGCCGCGUGAGGGAUGGAGGCCUUCGGGUUGUGAACCUCUUUCGCUCAUGGUCGAGCCACAACAAUGGUUGUGGUGAGGGUAGUGGGUAAAGAAGCGCCGGCUAACUACGUG